Molecule: long non-coding RNA, 430 nt
Organism: Grammomys surdaster
Lineage: Eukaryota; Metazoa; Chordata; Mammalia; Rodentia; Muridae
Exons: 2
Source: RefSeq, a predicted model, not a curated record
UUUUGGUUGGGUUUUUGUUUUGUUUUUCUUUAGUUGGUUUGGUUUGGUGUGCUUUUUGUUUUUUUUAGGCAGAAUCUCACUAUGUACCUCUGGCUCACCUGAAACUCACUGUUAGACCAGUCUGUCCUGAAAUUCAUUGAGAUCCAUCUGCCUCUGUCUCCUCAUAGCUGGAUUAAAGGAUUUGAUAAGAAUGAUUGGAUUCUGCUAAGAAUUAAAGCAGGGAUUGCCGUGUGUGGAUUUUAUAUUGUGGUGUGUAUAAUUAAUUGCCUUCUCUUGAGUUUUUCCUCAAAACGUAGUCCUGAGUGUUGGUGAGAUGGCUCAGUGGGUGAAGCCACUUCCCUUGACUCUAUGCCUCAAUUGCUAGUCUUAAACUUGGACACUACCAUUGCUAGCCCCUUUUCUUAAUUAAAUUAAUUCUCUUACUGUUAAA